Non-coding RNA from Nicotiana tabacum (common tobacco), 245 nucleotides. The record is from RefSeq and is a predicted model, not a curated record. NCBI's taxonomy places the organism in Eukaryota, Viridiplantae, Streptophyta, Magnoliopsida, Solanales, Solanaceae.
GUCGACCAAUAAUUCUGAAAUAAUAUAUGUAGCUUAAGAAUAUGGUAAAAAGUGGAGCCAGGAAAAGGAGGAGAGCGAAAAUACGAAUUCAGUAGCUUGCUUACAGUUACUGGUGCCUGCCAAAACAACUACUAGUAAAAGAUAAAGCCCAUACUCACAAGUAUAGAGACUUGAUAAUUAAACUUUGUUGAUCUAUUUGGGCAAUGUUUAUAAACUGCAUCGUAUAGAAUUGUUUGGUUAACUAA